AUUGAACGCUGGCGGCAUGCCUUACACAUGCAAGUCGAACGGCAGCGCGGGGCAACCUGGCGGCGAGUGGCGAACGGGUGAGUAAUAUAUCGGAACGUGCCCUGGAGUGGGGGAUAACGUAGCGAAAGUUACGCUAAUACCGCAUACGAUCCAAGGAUGAAAGCAGGGGACCUUCGGGCCUUGUGCUCCUGGAGCGGCCGAUAUCUGAUUAGCUAGUUGGUGGGGUAAAAGCCUACCAAGGCGACGAUCAGUAGCUGGUCUGAGAGGACGACCAGCCACACUGGAACUGAGACACGGUCCAGACUCCUACGGGAGGCAGCAGUGGGGAAUUUUGGACAAUGGGGGCAACCCUGAUCCAGCAAUGCCGCGUGUGUGAAGAAGGCC
RNAcentral lists this ribosomal RNA (384 nucleotides) under uncultured bacterium. RNAcentral's name for it is "bacterial SSU rRNA". It matches the Rfam family "Bacterial small subunit ribosomal RNA", at positions 30 to 416 of the family's 1533-position model. The record is from RNAcentral.